This 67-nucleotide transfer RNA is filed under the name Lepus californicus (black-tailed jackrabbit). Its description in RNAcentral is "tRNA-Thr". Lineage: Eukaryota; Metazoa; Chordata; Mammalia; Lagomorpha; Leporidae. The record is from RNAcentral.
GCCCCAGUAGUAUAAACAUUACCCUGGUCUUGUAAACCAGAAACGGAGAUUAACUCUCCCUGGGACA